GAUCAUGGCUCAGGAUGAACGCUAGCUACAGGCUUAACACAUGCAAGUCGAGGGGCAGCAUGAACUUAGCUUGCUAAGUUUGAUGGCGACCGGCGCACGGGUGAGUAACACGUAUCCAACCUUCCGUUUACUCUGGGACAGCCUUUCGAAAGAAAGAUUAAUACCUGAUAGUAUGGUGAGAUUGCAUGAUAGCACCAUUAAAGAUUUAUUGGUAAACGAUGGGGAUGCGUUCCA
Molecule: ribosomal RNA, 234 nt
Filed under: uncultured bacterium
Lineage: Bacteria
Description: partial 16S ribosomal RNA
Rfam family: Bacterial small subunit ribosomal RNA
Source: RNAcentral